AGUAACACGUGAGUAACCUGCCCUUAACUCUGGGAUAAGCCUGGGAAACUGGGUCUAAUACCGGAUAUGACUCCUCAUCGCAUGGUGGGGGGUGGAAAGCUUUAUUGUGGUUUUGGAUGGACUCGCGGCCUAUCAGCUUGUUGGUGAGGUAAUGGCUCACCAAGGCGACGACGGGUAGCCGGCCUGAGAGGGUGACCGGCCACACUGGGACUGAGACACGGCCCAGACUCCUACGGGAGGCAGCAGUGGGGAAUAUUGCACAAUGGGCGAAAGCCUGAUGCAGCGACGCCGCGUGAGGGAUGACGGCCUUCGGGUUGUAAACCUCUUUCAGUAGGGAAGAAGCGAAAGUGACGGUACCUGCAGAAGAAGCGCCGGCUAACUACGUGCCAGCAGCCGCGGUAAUACGUAGGGCGCAAGCGUUAUCCGGAAUUAUUGGGCGUAAAGAGCUCGUAGGCGGUUUGUCGCGUCUGCCGUGAAAGUCCGGGGCUCAACUCCGGAUCUGCGGUGGGUACGGGCAGACUAGAGUGAUGUAGGGGAGACUGGAAUUCCUGGUGUAGCGGUGAAAUGCGCAGAUAUCAGGAGGAACACCGAUGGCGAAGGCAGGUCUCUGGGCAUUAACUGACGCUGAGGAGCGAAAGCAUGGGGAGCGAACAGGAUUAGAUACCCUGGUAGUCCAUGCCGUAAACGUUGGGCACUAGGUGUGGGGGACAUUCCACGUUUUCCGCGCCGUAGCUAACGCAUUAAGUGCCCCGCCUGGGGAGUACGGCCGCAAGGCUAAAACUCAAAGGAAUUGACGGGGGCCCGCACAAGCGGCGGAGCAUGCGGAUUAAUUCGAUGCAACGCGAAGAACCUUACCAAGGCUUGACAUGAACCGGAAACACCUGGAAACAGGUGCCCCGCUUGCGGUCGGUUUACAGGUGGUGCAUGGUUGUCGUCAGCUCGUGUCGUGAGAUGUUGGGUUAAGUCCCGCAACGAGCGCAACCCUCGUUCUAUGUUGCCAGCGCGUUAUGGCGGGGACUCAUAGGAGACUGCCGGGGUCAACUCGGAGGAAGGUGGGGACGACGUCAAAUCAUCAUGCCCCUUAUGUCUUGGGCUUCACGCAUGCUACAAUGGCCGGUACAAAGGGUUGCGAUACUGUGAGGUGGAGCUAAUCCCAAAAAGCCGGUCUCAGUUCGGAUUGGGGUCUGCAACUCGACCCCAUGAAGUCGGAGUCGCUAGUAAUCGCAGAUCAGCAACGCUGCGGUGAAUACGUUCCCGGGCCUUGUACACACCGCCCGUCAAGUCA
This 1285-nucleotide ribosomal RNA is filed under the name Arthrobacter sp. RNAcentral's name for it is "bacterial SSU rRNA". It matches the Rfam family "Bacterial small subunit ribosomal RNA", at positions 109 to 1404 of the family's 1533-position model. The record is from RNAcentral. Lineage: Bacteria; Bacillati; Actinomycetota; Actinomycetes; Micrococcales; Micrococcaceae.